UACGGAGGGGGCGAGCGUUAUUCGGAAUUAUUGGGCGUAAAGAGCUCGUAGGCGGUUUGUCGCGUCGAAUGUGAAAACCCGGGGCUCAACCCCGGGCCUGCAUUCGAUACGGGCAGACUAGAGUUCGGUAGGGGAGUCUGGAAUUCCUGGUGUAGCGGUGAAAUGCGCAGAUAUCAGGAAGAACACCCGUGGCGAAGGCGGCUCUCUGGGACGGUACUGACGCUGAGACGCGAAAGCGUGGGGAGCGAACAGG
RNAcentral lists this ribosomal RNA (253 nucleotides) under uncultured bacterium. Its description in RNAcentral is "partial 16S ribosomal RNA". It matches the Rfam family "Bacterial small subunit ribosomal RNA", at positions 524 to 776 of the family's 1533-position model. The record is from RNAcentral.